GACGAACGCUGGCGGCGUGCUUAACACAUGCAAGUCGAACGGAAAGGCCCUGCUUUUGUGGGGUGCUCGAGUGGCGAACGGGUGAGUAACACGUGAGUAACCUGCCCUUGACUUUGGGAUAACUUCAGGAAACUUGGGCUAAUACCGGAUAGGAGCUCCUGCUGCAUGGUGGGGGUUGGAAAGUUUCGGCGGUUGGGGAUGGACUCGCGGCUUAUCAGCUUGUUGGUGGGGUAGUGGCUUACCAAGGCUUUGACGGGUAGCCGGCCUGAGAGGGUGACCGGCCACAUUGGGACUGAGAUACGGCGCAGACGCCUACGGGAGGCAGCAGUGGGGAAUAUUGCACAAUGGGCGGAAGCCUGAUGCAGCAACGCCGCGUGCGGGAUGACGGCCUUCGGGUUGUAAACCGCUUUCGCCUGUGACGAAGCGUGAGUGACGGUAAUGGGUAAAGAAGCACCGGCUAACUACGUG
RNAcentral lists this ribosomal RNA (468 nucleotides) under uncultured bacterium. Its description in RNAcentral is "partial 16S ribosomal RNA". It matches the Rfam family "Bacterial small subunit ribosomal RNA", at positions 28 to 507 of the family's 1533-position model. The record is from RNAcentral.